This 212-nucleotide ribosomal RNA is filed under the name uncultured bacterium. RNAcentral describes it as "partial 16S ribosomal RNA". It matches the Rfam family "Bacterial small subunit ribosomal RNA", at positions 524 to 734 of the family's 1533-position model. The record is from RNAcentral.
UACAGAGGGUGCGAGCGUUAAUCGGAAUUACUGGGCGUAAAGCGUGCGUAGACGGUUACGUAAGUCGGAUGUGGAAUCCCCGGGCUCAACCUGGGAACUGCAUUUGAGACUGCUCUGCUCGGGUGCGGAAGAGGGAAGCGGAAUUUCCGGUGUAGCGGUGAAAUGCGUAGAUAUCGGGAAGGAACACCAGUGGCGAAGGCGGUUGCCUGGGG